CCUUUAGACCAUGACCACGAAUUAAGAUAUACCUUAACUAUAGAUAAUAUAUUAUCUUAAUUCGUGACCAUGACGUAGCAUACAUUCGCCGGUCGCCUGCCGGCUAACCUUAAACUUUUUGUUUACAACACCGAUUCGUUAUUUCAAAUCGUUCAAUCGCUAAAUAUCGCUUCUGGUCAACCGCUACGGCCGGUUCUUCGUUCGUUUGUUCGGCGGCCGAUACUGCCGGAGUUCAGAUUUGUUCGUUGUCGCCCGCCGUCGGAUGUUCGCGUUUUAUUCGUGGUAGACGGUAUGUAGUCAGUUGUAGUUUUGUUACUCAUCAAUCGUAAUUCUCAAUACAAAAUACAAAUAAUUUUUUCCGUCGCGGUUUCGCUCGUGUGUUUCAGUGCAGUGUAAUACAGACGUCAAUACUAUACCUAAACGUACCCAUCCAGUGUCCGACGACCACCAUUUUUUAACACUGCGCACCGUUGUCCGACCACCUCUAUUCGUACAUUGUAUGCGUUUUCCCCGCGACUGAAGAAUAAAGAUAUUUUAUCGACGUUAACUUCGAACAAGCAUCAUCGAAUAUUAUGCGCGUUACGCUAAUACGGCUUACGCUAGCCACAUGGUUUUUUUAUACGUCCACGUCCGUCGUUCGACCGCUUCCGCCAUUGUUACCGUAAUAUGUCGACGCAUCGAACGCGCCCAAUUUUGUCGCUUCCAUUCUCGUUCGGCGCCGAUGACGAUGAAGCGAAUCCAAUCGCCGUAAUAUUACCGUAAUAUUAUUAUUUUUUUUUCAUGUUCCCGUUGUGUUUUCGUCCGGUGAAUCGACGCCCCAACGGCAGCCUAACCUAUGGUAUUUGUUUAGGGUGAUCAAUUGACGAUUCGCCUACAGCAGUAAGUUGUCGCGGGUGCGUGCAGUUUAUCGUUCACCAUACGCAUCAAGUGAAUGGUGUUUUCUUGUGAAUGGUGCUAUCCACGAUGGUGAAAACGAUUGAUGGCUCGGUCACAAUUUAAGGUAACUCAUCGAUAACAAAUAAAUAACUAAGUUAUUUACGUUCUGGUCAACGGCAAACAAUUAAUUAUAAUAUUCUAAUGCAUUGUUCACGAUAUUUCAAUGAUAGUCAUGUAUGGUUUAAAAACAAACAGUCAAUUUGUUAGUCAUAAUACAUUUUUUAUACAUAAUAUAAUAAUAAUAAUAAUGAACUUUAUUGCAACAACAACAGUACAUACAUACCUAAUAAGAAAUAACAAAAAUAACACUAGUUACAUAUUGCAGCACCCCCUAAAAGCAAAGCUUGUGCUGGGGGAGCGAGUUCUUUCGACCUACCUAGAAAUAUACUUACAUUUGAAUAAUAUAAUAAUAAAUCUGUUUUUUAUACUAUUACACUAUAAACAUAAUAAUACAUAAUACAAUAUCUUAAAUAAUAGUCUCAUUAAGUAUAAUCAUAUUUUCUUUAAAUCAACAUGUCUAAGAUAAGUUUUGAAAGACUUUAAAUUUUCAAACUGAUUAAUAUUAAUAUUUAAUAAUCGACAUAAAUUUAAACCAGUAUACAAUACACUUUUUUGUCCAAAGGCUUUUUGGCAUUUCAAUAAACGAAUAUUAACAUUUUGCUUAUAUCUAGUAUCAUAAUCAUGAUCUGAUACAGGUAUUAAAUGUUUAUGCUUAAAUAAAUGAACUAAUACAGCUUGAUUAUAUACUACCUUAAAACUAUUUACAUUAAGUUUUUCAUAAAUUAAAAUAGUAUUUGUUUGCAGUGGAAGAUUUAAUAAAUAUUUAAUAAUACCA
This is a long non-coding RNA of Metopolophium dirhodum (rose-grain aphid), 1771 nucleotides long. RefSeq lists it as uncharacterized. Lineage: Eukaryota; Metazoa; Arthropoda; Insecta; Hemiptera; Aphididae. The record is from RefSeq and is a predicted model, not a curated record. The transcript has 2 exons.